This 497-nucleotide ribosomal RNA is filed under the name uncultured bacterium. RNAcentral describes it as "partial 16S ribosomal RNA". It matches the Rfam family "Bacterial small subunit ribosomal RNA", at positions 28 to 507 of the family's 1533-position model. The record is from RNAcentral.
GAUGAACGCUGGCGGCGUGCCUAAUACAUGCAAGUCGAGCGAACAGACGAGGAGCUUGCUCCUCUGACGUUAGCGGCGGACGGGUGAGUAACACGUGGAUAACCUACCUAUAAGACUGGGAUAACUUCGGGAAACCGGAGCUAAUACCGGAUAAUAUAUUGAACCGCAUGGUUCAAUAGUGAAAGACGGUUUUGCUGUCACUUAUAGAUGUAUCCGCGCCGCAUUAGCUAGUUGGUAAGGUAACGGCUUACCAAGGCAACGAUGCGUAGCCGACCUGAGAGGGUGAUCGGCCACACGGGAACUGAGACACGGUCCAGACUCCUACGGGAGGCAGCAGUAGGGAAUCUUCCGCAAUGGGCGAAAGCUUGACGGAGCAACGCCGCGUGAGUGAUGAAGGUCUUCGGAUCGUAAAACUCUGUUAUUAGGGAAGAACAAAUGUGUAAGUAACUAUGCACGUCUUGACGGUACCUAAUCAGAAAGCCACGGCUAACUACGUG